ACAUAGAUUUGGAGAAUGGCAUAUGGUUGUAACAAAAUAGUUCAAUUGGUACCAAAACAAUUCCUGCAUGAUACACCAAUCCCCUCAAGUCCAGGGGUGGAACCUUUCAUAUGCACAAAUUGGGGACCAACAAGCAUCACCCCAUAAGAGACAACUAUUUGCACUUCAAAAUUUAAUGAAAAGGGAAAAUUUUUCUUUGAACAAAAAGGGAUCGGAUUGAAAUAGAGCUUGAUUUGAGUUUCUCGCAUGGGUUUAACGGUUUGAUCUAGUGGAUCGCUAUCAUAGUGCUGGAUUGGGAUUGGGCUAACGGUCAGAUCAAGUGGAUCCAUAUCAUGGUGCAGGUUGGGAUCGAGCUGAUAUUGGGAUCGAAUCAAGUGGAUUAGUAUCAUGGUGCGAGAUUGGGAUCAGGCCAAAAUUGAGCUUAACUAAGGUUCCCCGCAUGGGUUUAAUAGUUCGAUCUAGUAGAUCAG
RNAcentral lists this long non-coding RNA (470 nucleotides) under Elaeis guineensis (African oil palm). Its description in RNAcentral is "long non-coding RNA (EGUI_LNC001070)". The record is from RNAcentral. Lineage: Eukaryota; Viridiplantae; Streptophyta; Magnoliopsida; Arecales; Arecaceae.